Molecule: ribosomal RNA, 328 nt
Filed under: uncultured bacterium
Lineage: Bacteria
Description: bacterial SSU rRNA
Rfam family: Bacterial small subunit ribosomal RNA
Source: RNAcentral
AUUGAACGCUAGCGGGAUGCCUUACACAUGCAAGUCGAACGGCAGCAUAAGAGAGCUUGCUCUCUUGAUGGCGAGUGGCGAACGGGUGAGUAAUGUAUCGGAACGUGCCCAGUAGCGGGGGAUAACAUCCCGAAAGGGGUGCUAAUACCGAAUGUGACAGCAAUCUCGCAUGAGGAUGCUGUGAAAGAUGGCCUCUAUUUAUAAGCUAUCGCUAGAGGAUGGGCCUGCGUCUGAUUAGCUAGUUGGUGGGGGAAUGGCCUACCAAGGCGAUGAUCAGUAGCCGGUCUGAGAGGAUGAACGGCCACAUUGGGACUGAGACACGGCCCAG